GUGGCUUCCAGCUAUCAUACAAAAAUCUUCAACAAAAUCACUUCCACUAUCAUCAUUGUCAUCCUUACUAUUAAGAGGAUUCCUCGAUGAAGAUGAUCUUGAGGAUGUGGUCCUCUUCCAGAUAAUCACCUUUGUUACAUGGUCUGCUUCACCAGACAUGUUCUCACCCACUCUUCUGCAGCAACCUGAGCCCAUAGAAGACAAAUAGGCGGACACCGAAGAUUUUCCUUUGGCCUCAGAAAACCCAACUCUGAUUUUGCUAGCUUCGAGCAUUCUUGAAAUCUCUUUUCCGGAU
RNAcentral lists this unclassified non-coding RNA (295 nucleotides) under Hevea brasiliensis (rubber tree). The record is from RNAcentral. Lineage: Eukaryota; Viridiplantae; Streptophyta; Magnoliopsida; Malpighiales; Euphorbiaceae.